AGGGCACCACCAGGAGUGGAGCCUGCGGCUUAAUUUGACUCAACACGGGAAAACUCACCCGGCCCGGACACUGGAAGGAUUGACAGAUUGAGAGCUCUUUCUUGAUUCAGUGGGUGGUGGUGCAUGGCCGUUCUUAGUUGGUGGAGUGAUUUGUCUGGUUAAUUCCGAUAACGAACGAGACUCUAGCCUACUAAAUAGAUCGUCGGCUUACAAACGCCGGCGAGACUUCUUAGAGGGACAGGCGGUGAUUCAACCGUACGAAACAGAGCAAUAACAGGUCUGUGAUGCCCUUAGAUGUCCGGGGCCGCACGCGCGCUACACUGAAGUGAUCAGCGUGCUUUUUCAACCUACUCUGUCAAGAGUGGGGAACCCAAUGAACCUUCUUCGUGAUUGGGAUAGGGGAUUGUAAUUGUUCCCCUUGAACGAGGAAUUCCCAGUAAGCGCGAGUCAUAAGCUCGCGUUGAUUACGUCCCUGCCCUUUGUACACACCGCCCGUCGCUACUACCGAUUGAAUGUUUU
This 519-nucleotide ribosomal RNA is filed under the name uncultured eukaryote. Its description in RNAcentral is "SSU rRNA". It matches the Rfam family "Eukaryotic small subunit ribosomal RNA", at positions 1161 to 1699 of the family's 1831-position model. The record is from RNAcentral.